UACGUAGGGCGCAAGCGUUGUCCGGAAUUAUUGGGCGUAAAGAGCUCGUAGGCGGUUUGUCGCGUCUGUCGUGAAAGCUUGGGGCUUAACCCCAAGUCUGCGGUGGAUACGGGCAGACUAGAGGCAGGUAGGGGAGAACGGAAUUCCCGGUGUAGCGGUGAAAUGCGCAGAUAUCAGGAAGAACACCCGUGGCGAAGGCGGCUCUCUGGGACGGUACUGACGCUGAGACGCGAAAGCGUGGGGAGCGAACAGG
This 253-nucleotide ribosomal RNA is filed under the name uncultured bacterium. Its description in RNAcentral is "partial 16S ribosomal RNA". It matches the Rfam family "Bacterial small subunit ribosomal RNA", at positions 524 to 776 of the family's 1533-position model. The record is from RNAcentral.